GACGAAGGGGGCUAGCGUUGUUCGGAAUUACUGGGCGUAAAGCGCGUGUAGGCGGUUGCCCAAGUCAGGUGUGAAAGCCUUGAGCUCAACUCAAGAAAUGCACUUGGUACUGGGUGGCUAGAGGACCGGAGAGGAUAGUGGAAUUCCCAGUGUAGUGGUGAAAUACGUAGAGAUUGGGAAGAACACCAGUGGCGAAGGCGGCUAUCUGGACGGUUACUGACGCUAAGACUCGAAAGCGUGGGGAGCAAACAGG
This 253-nucleotide ribosomal RNA is filed under the name uncultured bacterium. RNAcentral describes it as "partial 16S ribosomal RNA". It matches the Rfam family "Bacterial small subunit ribosomal RNA", at positions 524 to 776 of the family's 1533-position model. The record is from RNAcentral.